This is an RNA transcript of Haliotis rubra (blacklip abalone), 1709 nucleotides long. RefSeq lists it as uncharacterized. The record is from RefSeq and is a predicted model, not a curated record. The transcript is spliced from 4 exons. NCBI's taxonomy places the organism in Eukaryota, Metazoa, Mollusca, Gastropoda, Lepetellida, Haliotidae.
GACUAACGUAGCACGUGCAGAUGCGCGGAAUGCACGAAAUGCCCGAGCCUCUUUACAUGUCAGUCGAACCUUGGACCAUAUGUCACUGAUGUGCUGUGAGAAGGUCAGCAAAACAGUACCUUAUCCUUCGAUGUAUCGCUCCCACACAAUACACAAAGGUCUUUCAAGUUUGAACUAUGAAAUAGCUUCAGCAGCUGUCUUUCACUGAGAAGACAUGUUUCUCAGCAAAGCAUUACAACUGCACUUUGGUCCAGGCAAUGCAGUGAUUGACACCAAAGCACCGUUAAACUGGUUUAUGAGAACAAGUAUCAACCAAGUCUGGCCACCGGAUCUCGUUCGAGGACAGGCAUGGCAUAACAACUGCCCGCUGAACAUCUUCUACUUCGGUCCAGGCAAUAUGGGAAAUGAUAACAAGCAUCGACCAAGUCGCUGUGCCAGACCACCUCAUCCUGUUAGAGGAGAGCACAAGCCUGGGUUGCUGAAGAUCAGGUCAGUAUUUCCUAAUAACCCUCAUCAAGGGCCAAAUCUCAUAAGAUGGUGAAUAAUACCUUAGGAGACAAGAAGCCCCCCACAUGAGAGGUCACCAGAAUAUCCAGGAGGCUUGCAACAGUGAGAGGACAACUGACACCAUGAUGGCAAGUCACGACCCUGAUAUUAGGGACCUUUUGUGGCAGCAAUGGAUCAAGUCAGAAACCCAUAUGCAUUGCAACAAAACAUGAACAUCAGCUGACAUCACAACAAAGACAUGUUGACCACGAGACUUGAUUCCAGACCACAUCCGGGGUGCUGCUACUGCAGUCAACCAUCUGCCGACACCUCCUUGUACUGGAACAGACCCUUCUUUAUGUGACACAGUGAAAUCUGCUGGGGGUCAGAGGGCAUGCUGUACACACCCUGGUCACCAAGGAAUACAUGACUGAAAAUGGUCAAGGACAAUAAAAAUGCAUUUGUAAUAUGUAGAUUUAUAAUCUGAAAUUGUAUCCAUUUAAAACUGGAUAACUAAUAUAAUAAUACCCAUCUUUAGGCAAACAUUACGCACUUGUGUUUGUGGUUACUCAUGUCAAUAGCAGGUUCCACAAGAUGAUAAAUAUUGCAACGAUUUGCUUUGAUACUUGUAUGGCAAAUUAUCCAAUGAGAAUUGUUACUUGUAUGACAAAGGAUACGGCAAGCGGAGCACCCAGAUCUGUCCAGGUGGUAAGGUCAUGGACUCAUCAUUGCCGGGAUAGAACAGAGGACACGACCCUGGCGCAGGCUGUAUUUGAGGCUUCAGCUGAACUCUGAUUGGUCCGUCUGGAGUCACCACAAAUAUCCGCAUCAGCUGCGCCAUGUAACCCUUGGCACUCCUGUAGAUCAAGAAGCAAGUCAUUUGUAUGAAAUAGGCUAAUUGUGUAAAAUCAUGUUCAUGUUAAAUUGCAGUACAGCAAGGAGGACUCACCUGCAGUGACAGGGGCAGUAGAGAGGCAUGUCCAUGGUCAGAAGCUUGUUGGCAUUGUCCUGAAAUGAAACAUGGGGUAUAUUAAAUGCCAAAGUGAACCUGAACAAUCAUACCAGUCACUGUUAUCGUAUAUUUCAACAUCAGGAGUACGUUCUCCAUAUUUUUUCUCGUCAUAUGAGUGAAAUAUUCUCAAGCACGACGUUAAACCCAAUUUCACCUCACCUUAUUUUUUCAAUAUAGGAGUGCUGAAUGGAAUAUAAUGGCAAAUCAGUAA